GUCUCUGUGGCGCAAUCGGUUAGCGCGUUCGGCUGUUAACCGAAAGGUUGGGGGUUCGAGCACACCCAGGGACG
Transfer RNA from Gorilla gorilla gorilla (western lowland gorilla), 74 nucleotides. It matches the Rfam family "tRNA". Rfam says of the family: Transfer RNA (tRNA) molecules are approximately 80 nucleotides in length. Their secondary structure includes four short double-helical elements and three loops (D, anti-codon, and T loops). Further hydrogen bonds mediate the characteristic L-shaped molecular structure. tRNAs have two regions of fundamental functional importance: the anti-codon, which is responsible for specific mRNA codon recognition, and the 3' end, to which the tRNAs corresponding amino acid is attached (by aminoacyl-tRNA synthetases). tRNAs cope with the degeneracy of the genetic code in two manners: having more than one tRNA (with a specific anti-codon) for a particular amino acid; and 'wobble' base-pairing, i.e. permitting non-standard base-pairing at the 3rd anti-codon position. The record is from Rfam. NCBI's taxonomy places the organism in Eukaryota, Metazoa, Chordata, Mammalia, Primates, Hominidae.